GUCUCUUCUGUCUUCUAAUUCCCAUCAGUGAGUACUGGGUGGUAAUAACAGGGACAGACCAUAUGCAGAAAUAUGUAUGUAAUACGCAUCAGAUCUGGUAAUAUCUAUCAAGGAAAAUUAGAAACCCAUGACAGCACAAUAUUUAGUGAAUAGCCCACUCAAUGUUAAUGCCACAAAUAUUGUUCAUUUCAAAUUCUAUUUAUUUGUGGAUGAGUGUGGAUCUAGUAUCUGCAUGCUAAACAUUAUUAUUUACCUUUCAAAGUGUUCAAAAGAAGGAACAAAUAUUGCUUAUAAUCUUCUUAUAUUGUUUCAGGUCUGGCGCAGACAUCCACCAUUACUCAGUGGCCCAGAGCACUCAUGAGAGAGUUAGAUUCUGAUGUACAUAUGAACUGUACUCAGACGACAGACCAUGACUAUAUGUACUGGUAUCUACAAAGGAAUGGCCAGGGACUAGAGCUUAUGGCCUGGCGUUUCCGAGACCAAACACCUCAGUACGAAAAUGGAAUUGACAAAGAUAAGUUUAUAAUAACCAUGACUGAUUCAGUGAAGAAGACUCAACUGGAAAUCAAAUCCGUGAAGAAUCAGGAUAAAG
Pelobates cultripes (western spadefoot toad) is the source of this 592-nucleotide non-coding RNA. The record is from the annotation of a GenBank genome assembly. Lineage: Eukaryota; Metazoa; Chordata; Amphibia; Anura; Pelobatidae.